Hydra vulgaris (swiftwater hydra) is the source of this 1726-nucleotide long non-coding RNA. RefSeq lists it as uncharacterized. NCBI's taxonomy places the organism in Eukaryota, Metazoa, Cnidaria, Hydrozoa, Anthoathecata, Hydridae. The record is from RefSeq and is a predicted model, not a curated record.
AUCGCUUUUAUCAAAUUCAGUAUAUAAAUAAAUUUAUAGCAAAUUUGUGCUGAAUAAACAAACAAAUGUUUCUAAACGAUAAAAGUAAUAAGUAAUGAAAUAAUACGAAGUUUCACUUAUAACAAGUUGGUUCAUAAUUGUUGUUCUUAUUAAGUAAAAAAAAAAAAUGUACUUGGUGGCAUUGAAUCAGCAAUCGGAGUAAUUGUAUCAAUUGCAUCAUUUGUUAUGGCCGGAAAAGCAAAUUUAAGCUUAUCCUUGACACCAUAAUGGGCCGGACUUAUUAUAAAGAUGUAUGUGCAGGAUUUAUUUUCACAACUAAAGAGGACUCCGAAGAAGUAUUUAUCAAAUUGUUAUGGCCACCUGUUUAGUAUUUUUAUUGCCUUCAAAUAUUUUGGAAACAGAGUUUAGUGUGACAUUUGAUAAAUUUACUUUGAAGUUGAUAAAACUUUUAAAAAUUUCACAAAAAGUUUAUGAAGAUAGUUUUGAGAAAGUAUUAGUUAUGUACUUUGACAAAGUAUGGCGACCAAUAGACGACAAAAAUGAUUAUAAGAAAGCAACAUUUAUUAUCAACUGCAAAAUUAUGUUGAUGAUUAACAUCUUCGUUUUAGUCUCCAUUGAUCCCAGCAAGAGAUCUUUUCCUGCAAAAAAAUUUGGUGAUUUGAUUUUUCAAUAAGACGUAGGUAUUGAUGAGAUGUUCAUUAAUAAACUUGAGGUUAUCAUCAAAGCGUACGCAGCCUCGUGUAAGUCUGCUAAAACUUGUAUCUAACCAUUCCUUGUAAACUUUGGAAAUAAAAUACACAAAUUAACAAAUGAUAAUAUUCUAGAAAAAAGUUGUUUUUCAAUUCUGCUUCGGAAAACGAAAGGUUAUUCAAUGUUUACAAUAGAUGAUGUAGAAUUAGAAAUCAAAUGGCCUGAAGGACUUUCUGAUCCAAAAUCAAGAUACAUCGAUAUUCGGAAAAGAAAACCUACGUCAAACAAAUUGUAUGAAAAAAUCAAUGAAAAUGUAUUUAUCAAUGAGUUCGUUAAAAAAAUUGACGUUACGUUAACAACUUUAACUUAUCUCAGACAGUUAUUGCAACCAGAAAACUGCUAUUCAGAAUCUGUAAGAAGACUUAUAGUAAAUAUUUUAUUGUUGCCGGCUUUUCAAUUUAAUGAUAGGUUUAACUUUUCGCUUAUUACCGAGUUUAAUAUAACAGAUGAGUCCUGCACCAGCAAAAGAAUUAGUAACGGACCAUUUGAUUAUUUUUUACUUGGAAAAAAGCAACAUCUAACAACUUUAAUUUUUGAUCAAUCAAAUAAAAACCUCCAAACUGAUGAAGAAACUGAAUUAAUAUAUGAGACAACCAUUAUCGAAGCGAAAAUGGACUUUGAAAUAAAGGACUUACCUAAAGCAUUGGCUACGCUGAUAGCCCAAAUGUUUCAUGUAUCAUGUGGUUCCAUCUCGCAAGAGAUCUCAUGACGGUUUCAAUGCCAAUACAACUCUGCGCAUCACAGCGUUAAAGGAAUCUUGUUGACUCGUCAUCACUUCAUGUUUUUUUCCCUCAGUGAAGAAAAAAAUUUCUAUGAUUUACCUACACUUCAUUUUUAUGGUAAUCACUCUAUAAACAUCUUAACGAAAAAAAGUGUUCGAAGCAGUGGUCUUGAUCAAAAUGAAGAGAUAAAAAAAACCGAAGUAGAACAUAUUUUGCAAGUUUUGCAUUGCUUUGCAAUGUUUGAUUAUGAAUAA